ACGAACGCUGGCGGCGUGCUUAACACAUGCAAGUCGAACGGUGAAGCGCCUUCCUUUUUGGUGGGUGUGGAUGAGUGGCGAACGGGUGAGUAACACGUGAGUAACCUGCCCCCUUCUUCUGGAUAACCGCAUGAAAGUGUGGCUAAUACGGGAUAUUCUGGGUCUGUCGCAUGAUGGGUCUGGGAAAGAUAUUGUUUCGGUGGGGGAUGGGCUCGCGGCCUAUCAGCUUGUUGGUGGGGUGAUGGCCUACCAAGGCGGUGACGGGUAGCCGGCCUGAGAGGGUGGACGGUCACACUGGGACUGAGACACGGCCGAGACUCAUACGGGAGGCAGCAGUGGGGAAUAUUGCACAAUGGGCGCAAGCCUGAUGCAGCGACGCCGCGUGAGGGAUGGAGGCCUUCGGGUUGUGAACCUCUUUCGCCAGUGAAGCAGGCCUGCCUCGUUUGUGGGUGGGUUGACGGUAGCUGGAUAAGAAGCGCCGGCUAACUACGUG
Molecule: ribosomal RNA, 493 nt
Filed under: uncultured bacterium
Lineage: Bacteria
Description: partial 16S ribosomal RNA
Rfam family: Bacterial small subunit ribosomal RNA
Source: RNAcentral